GACGAACGCUGGCGGCGUGCUUAACACAUGCAAGUCGAACGGAAAGGCCCUGCUUUUGUGGGGUGCUCGAGUGGCGAACGGGUGAGUAACACGUGAGUAACCUGCCCUUGACUUUGGGAUAACUUCAGGAAACUGGGGCUAAUACCGGAUAGGAGCUCCUGCUGCAUGGUGGGGGUUGGAAAGUUUCGGCGGUUGGGGAUGGACUCGCGGCUUAUCGGCUUGUUGGUGGGGUAGUGGCUUACCAAGGCUUUGACGGGUAGCCGGCCUGAGAGGGUGACCGGCCACAUUGGGACUGAGAUACGGCCCAGACUCCUACGGGAGGCAGCAGUGGGGAAUAUUGCACAAUGGGCGGAAGCCUGAUGCAGCAACGCCGCGUGCGGGAUGACGGCCUUCUGGUUGUAAACCGCUUUCGCCUGCGACGAAGCGUGAGUGACGGUAAUGGGUAAAGAAGCACCGGCUAACUACGUG
Molecule: ribosomal RNA, 468 nt
Filed under: uncultured bacterium
Lineage: Bacteria
Description: partial 16S ribosomal RNA
Rfam family: Bacterial small subunit ribosomal RNA
Source: RNAcentral